Molecule: ribosomal RNA, 229 nt
Filed under: uncultured bacterium
Lineage: Bacteria
Description: partial 16S ribosomal RNA
Rfam family: Bacterial small subunit ribosomal RNA
Source: RNAcentral
CAUGUAGGCGGUAUAGCAAGUCUGGUGUUAAAUAUCCCGGCUCAACCGAGAAAACGCACUGGAAACUGCUAAACUAGAGUAUAGGAAGGGAAGCUAGAAUUCCUGGUGUAGGGGUGAAAUCUGUAGAUAUCAGGAAGAAUACCGGUGGCGAAGGCGAGCUUCUGGCCAGAUACUGACGCUGAGAUGCGAAAGCGUGGGGAGCGAACAGGAUUAGAUACCCUGGUAGUCC